RNAcentral lists this long non-coding RNA (425 nucleotides) under Oryza brachyantha (malo sina). RNAcentral's name for it is "long non-coding RNA (OBRA_LNC001612)". The record is from RNAcentral. Lineage: Eukaryota; Viridiplantae; Streptophyta; Magnoliopsida; Poales; Poaceae.
CCGCGCGCGCGGCGCUGCCGCCUGACGUGACGUGCCUGCGCCGUGCGAAUAUGCGGGCGGGCGAUGCUGGCCGGAGAAGAGCGAGCCAGGAAAUCUCUAGAACUAUGGGUGGCUCCGCUCCGUCCCUUGCUGGGCUGGCUGCUCCGGCUUUGCUUCCGGCUCUGUUGGACCAAUAGCUGAUGAUGAUGAUGCAGGCCUAGGCCUUGGCUAGCUUGGUCCUCUUUGCUGCUACUACUACUUUCUGUUUUUCUUUUAUGGCCUCUUCUCCUUUGAAAGAUUUCCGAGGAGCUGAACUAUUUUCUCUAAAAUUUUCAUAAAAUUUCUAUGUUCCGAGGAGGGUCUUACCCAUUUUCAUUUUCUUUUACUCAUUUCUGCAAGAAUCGUACACCCUCCAUUUUCUUUACUAUUGGACAUUUACGUUUGGC